GAUGAACGCUGGCGGCGUGCCUAAUACAUGCAAGUCGAGCGAACGGACGAGAAGCUUGCUUCUCUGAUGUUAGCGGCGGACGUGUGAGUAACACGUGGAUAACCUACCUAUAAGACUGGGAUCACUUCGGGAAACCGGAACUAAUACCGGAUAAUAUUUUGAACCGCAUGGUUCAAAAGUGAAAGACGGUCUUGCUGUCACUUAUAGAUGGAUCCGCGCUGCAUUAGCUAGUUGGUAAGGUAACGGCUUACCAAGGCAACGAUGCAUAGCCGACCUGAGAGGGUGAUCGGCCACACUGGAACUGAGACACGGUCCAGACUCCUACGGGAGGCAGCAGUAGGGAAUCUUCCGCAAUGGGCGAAAGCCUGACGGAGCAACGCCGCGUGAGUGAUGAAGGUCUUCGGAUCGUAAAACUCUGUUAUUAGGGAAGAACAUAUGUGUAAGUAACUGUGCACAUCUUGACGGUACCUAAUCAGAAAGCCACGGCUAACUACGUG
Molecule: ribosomal RNA, 497 nt
Filed under: uncultured bacterium
Lineage: Bacteria
Description: partial 16S ribosomal RNA
Rfam family: Bacterial small subunit ribosomal RNA
Source: RNAcentral